CGAAAGCCUGAUACCAGCCAAGCCGCGUGCAGGAUGAAGGCCUUAUGGGUGGAAAACUGUUUUUAUACGGGGAUAAAGUGGGGGACCGUGUUCCAUUAUUUGUAUGGUACUAGCUAUCGAAUAAGGACCGGCUAAUUCCAUG
RNAcentral lists this ribosomal RNA (142 nucleotides) under uncultured bacterium. RNAcentral's name for it is "partial 16S ribosomal RNA". The record is from RNAcentral.